UACGGAGGGUGCAAGCGUUGCUCGGAAUUAUUGGGCGUAAAGGGUAGGUAGGUGGUCUCAUUUGUCUGUGGUGAAAGCCUUGGGCUUAACUCAAGAAGUGCCGCAGAAACGGUGAGACUGGAGUCCUGGAGAGGGUCGUGGAAUUCCCGGUGUAGCGGUGAAAUGCGUAGAGAUCGGGAGGAACACCAGAGGCGAAGGCGGCGACCUGGACAGGUACUGACACUCAACUACGAAAGCGUGGGGAGCAAACAGG
Molecule: ribosomal RNA, 253 nt
Filed under: uncultured bacterium
Lineage: Bacteria
Description: partial 16S ribosomal RNA
Rfam family: Bacterial small subunit ribosomal RNA
Source: RNAcentral